RNAcentral lists this unclassified non-coding RNA (386 nucleotides) under Hevea brasiliensis (rubber tree). Lineage: Eukaryota; Viridiplantae; Streptophyta; Magnoliopsida; Malpighiales; Euphorbiaceae. The record is from RNAcentral.
GUCGAAAUUAGAUUGGGAGAAGGAAAAAGAAAUAAAAGGAAAGAAAACCGGAAACAGAGAUAAAGCGCGAAGAAUCGAAGCAGCGAAGAAUCGAAAACCCAAAGUGAGUUGGAGCCUGUAGAUUUCUCUGCAAUUGGUGAAGUUGGUGAAGGUCAGAGCUACAUAAAUCUCUAAACCUUAAUCCCACACUCUUAAGAGUUUUGUUUUCACUCUUGAAUUGCGCUUCUUUUCUCUAAAAUUCCAAUUUCACCUGCAAUUGGUGUUCUGUUCUUUAACUCAAUCUUCCAGCUCCACUGAUCUCUUUUUUCUCAAACUUCAAAUUUUCUAAAUUUGAAGUUUCCACCUUUUAAGUUCCGUCUCAAAAUUUACAAGCCGGGUGGGGGGGG